RNAcentral lists this ribosomal RNA (253 nucleotides) under uncultured bacterium. RNAcentral describes it as "partial 16S ribosomal RNA". It matches the Rfam family "Bacterial small subunit ribosomal RNA", at positions 524 to 776 of the family's 1533-position model. The record is from RNAcentral.
UACGAGGGGGGCGAGCGUUGUCCGGAAUUAUUGGGCGUAAAGCGCGCGCAGGCGGUUCUUUAAGUCUGAUGUGAAAGCCCACGGCUCAACCGUGGAGGGUCAUUGGAAACUGGGGAACUUGAGUACAGAAGAGGAAAGCGGAAUUCCACGUGUAGCGGUGAAAUGCGUAGAGAUGUGGAGGAACACCAGUGGCGAAGGCGGCUUUCUGGUCUGUAACUGACGCUGAGGCGCGAAAGCGUGGGGAGCAAACAGG